RNAcentral lists this ribosomal RNA (241 nucleotides) under uncultured Actinomycetales bacterium. RNAcentral describes it as "partial 16S ribosomal RNA". It matches the Rfam family "Bacterial small subunit ribosomal RNA", at positions 89 to 334 of the family's 1533-position model. Lineage: Bacteria; Bacillati; Actinomycetota; Actinomycetes; Actinomycetales. The record is from RNAcentral.
ACUCGAGUGGCGAACGGGUGAGUAACACGUGGGUGAUCUGCCCUGCACUUCGGGAUAAGCCUGGGAAACUGGGUCUAAUACCGGAUAGGACCACAUUUUGGAUGGUGUGGUGGAAAGUUUUUCGGUGUGGGAUGAGCUCGCGGCCUAUCAGCUUGUUGGUAGGGUAAUGGCCUACCAAGGCGUCGACGGGUAGCCGGCCUGAGAGGGUGUACGGCCACAUUGGGACUGAGAUACGGCCCAG